Non-coding RNA from Sus scrofa (pig), 3895 nucleotides. The record is from RefSeq and is a predicted model, not a curated record. Lineage: Eukaryota; Metazoa; Chordata; Mammalia; Artiodactyla; Suidae.
GGCAACCUGCACCACAGUUCACAGCAACGCUGGAUCCUUAACCCACUGAGCAAGGCCGGAGAUCAAACCCAUGUCCUCAUGGAUCCUAGUCGAGUUUGUUACUGCUGAGCCACAACAGGGGCUCCAGAAAAAAGGCUUUUUUAAUCACUUCUUCCAUUAAGUCAUUUUGGAGAAGAACUAGGGCCAAAGUAGAGAUCUUAAUCUGGCAGCCGUGUGUUCCAUGUGGGUAAAUUGUCAUGGAGCCCAGAGUUUCCACAUGGGCCCUUAAACUUUUCUUGUGCCAUUAAUCCCUUUGGCAGUCUGGUCAAGCACAUGAAUCUCUCCUCAAAAUAAUAUUUUAAAGUUAGUACUAUGCCUAUUAUAUAGCAAUUAAAAGUUGUGAUACCUUUAUGGUUUUUGUUUUUUUUCAACACGUUGUAUAAUACUGUCUAGGACAGGAAUAACUACCAUACUAUGUAGUGUUGAAGGGAAAUGAUACUGCAACUACAUAACAUGACUUGUGUCUGAUUUCUUUUGGUGGUAAACCCACAGAUAUUGUUGAUACUGCUGUGGUUUAUGGCCUAUACUUAUAACUGAAAGAACUGGUAGGUUUCAAGUAGUGAUUAGUUAAAAUGAAGGUGUAAUUUUUUGUGGGUCCUUUGAUUUCUUUUCAUGGGUCACUUGGUGGUCCUAAGACCCCUAGUUAGGAAACUGUGUAGUUUAGCAAUUACUAAGAAGCCCUAGGAAGUAAAUGAAUGAACAGGGUGGUUCACCUUACCAAAUAAUCUACUUUUAUCUUGUUUUAUCUAUCAGAAUUUCACAUAAGAUUUCAUUUGAAAUAGAAAUGGUUUAUGGGGCUAAAUGUGUAAUUUUGAAAACAAUUGUAAACAAAAAAAUAUUGAUUCUUUAUCUUACUUUUUAACUUAAAACUUAACUUCCUUUAUAAACAUUCUCAGCAUGUUAGUGUACCAUUAAGUUUAUAACCCCGAAAAUAGAGAUUUAGAAGUCAACAGGAAAUAGUGGAAGGCGUGGAACACCAAUAAGACUGCCCAGCAAUAAUCCGUGUGAGUGUAGCCUGAGAUGAGGAACAGACUAAGAAGUAGCGAAGAAGAAGAAGUGAAGCCCUGGAAAGAAGACAGAGAGAGGUAGGAGAAGAACAUUUCCGUAACAUUAAAGAAGCAAAGGAUGUCAGUACUGUGGAGAUGUCAUAGAUGAUGACCAAAAAGAAUCCAGCAAACUUGGGCAGGAGGUGAGUGACCUUUCCUAUGGCAUUUUCAGCAGAGUGAGGUGGGCAGAUGCCAGAAUGAAAUGGCCUGAAGAGUGAAUAAGAGAUGAGGUGAAGAUAGUGUGGUAUAGACCGGUGCUUUUCAAAUGAAUGUGGUGAAACAGUAUCUGUAAUUUCCAACCUGUUAACUGACCGCAGUCCUGCCAUGCAUGUCUGGCGUGCCACUUACACCAUGUGUUAGGUACCCUAAGAACUGGAUGACAGCCAAACUGAUCUAGACUCUCUUAAGACAGGUCCACUGAUGCCAGGCUUGAAUGUCAUGGCCAUGUCACAUUGCUAUUCAAAUUUCUAAAUGCUUAUUCUUAAUUCUGUAUUGUAGUCUAGGUGCAGACUAUUCUUUCAAAAAGCUUACCUGUCAAGGAAGAGAGAGAAUAGCCCCUACUCUAUGGGGCUGACUUGUAGGAUUGAGAGAAGGUUUCUGCCAAUGUUAUUUCUUGCAACUUUCUCCUCUGAAUAUCUCCCGAUGUUCUUCAUGCUUCACAUUCUUUUCAGCCCCAACUUUGGAGCUCUAAUACCUAAAAUAGCUCCCUGGUACAUAGAAAGCAUUUAAAUUAAAAGGUUAUUAAAUGAAAAUUCAUGUGAACUGUGGAAGAUCUAAGUGGUCCUGUGUUUCCAGAUUUUACAGUAGAAUACCUCAUUUAAUCUCUGGAUAUUUAUUUUGCCUGUGGUCAGGGAAUUGUCAGGGAGAUGAUAAUUUUCACAGUUUUUGAGUGCUUUCAAUCACUACCCCCUGUUUUCAAAGAGGACAUCACUUACUCUUACUUAGUAGGACCUGUGCUUUGAGGGGUUUUGUUUGUUUUUUCAAAAUUGGGAGUGAAUAUGCCUCUUGCUUUGCCUCCUCUCCCCUCUUGGAGGACAGUUAUUAACAAAAUACUGGUCAGAUUUGGGUCUGUAUCAUGACCACAGAAUAAAGAGAACUGAAUUGACUGGCACAGAGCUCAAACCCAAGAGAAUAAUUUAACAGAAAGGACUUUGGUUUUCCACAAAACUCUUUACUUUCCUCUUUCUCUAAAGGGAGUGAUUUUCAAAUCUCCUCAUAUUUUUCUCAUCUACAGCAUUGCCCAUAGCCCACACAGAGGAACUCAAAUUUGUACCUGGAAAAAUGAGAAUUCUAAUCUAAAAUGUGGGCGAUAUGAAUAGGAACCAAAGAAAAGUGGACAAUUUCUGUCAUUCAGGCAGCAGACCUUUACUGAAUGCUUAAUAUGUGCCAGACACAUAUGUGCCAGAAACUUUAUGUAGGCUCGGGGACUACAAGCUCUACAUCAAGAUGAGAGAAGGAAGAUCCAAAUAAAGAUUUACAGACUUUACUGUCUGCGGUAUUCCUGGACCAAAGUCGGUGAAACUAGAUUACCUGAUGUUUAGCUUUCCAGUCUCAAGACCAGUCCUCAGUAUUCAAGGUUGUCUUAGGCACUUGGCUUGGAGUCAUCGAUUCUAACUCAAAGUAAUGUCAUUAUCUUUGAUCUCCAGUGACCUUUGCCUCCACUCACUUUUAUCCACUCCCUUCCAUGGUUGCACCCUGGGAACUGCUACCCAGUUGAAACAAUAGAUUGCUCAGUGCAGGAUCUGAGCCAUGUCUGCGACCUACACCACAGCUCACGGCAACACAGAUCCUUAACCCACUGAACGAGGUCAGGGAUCAAACCCAGAGCUUCUCUCUCUCAUUCCACUUUCUGGCCACAGCAUUCUGUUCUUCUUGCUCCCUCAUUCAGUUACUCUCCUGGCCCCUGUUUGAGUCUAACUGCUAUAAUAAACAAAUUUAAAUCUCUGUGGUUACAUUAGUUAGCCAUUGCUAUCUAAUAAACCACCCUAAAAUGUAUUGCCUUAAAACAGCAGUUAUUCAUUAUGAACACAGAUUUGCAGAUCAGCUGAGUGUGGCUGAGCUGAGCUCUGGAUGAGCUCAUGGCAGUGGCAGAGACAGAUGAGUGCAAGUGGAAGCACAAGCCAGGUCUUGGACCCUAAGCGCACUAACAGUCACUUCCCCUCACGUGUUAUGGACCAAAGCAAGUCACAUGAUCAUGCCCGAAGUUAAGGGGCCACAAGUGCAUCCAGUAUGAUCAGCAGGGGAAUGCUGCUCUACCCAGUCAUACCUCAACCCAACCUCCUUCUGCUGUGUGGUUCUCUCAUCUCUCUGGGCUUUAUCAUUCUCUGUAUCCAGCUGGCAGAGGUGGAAAGAGAGGCAAAGUGUGCAUGAUCACGGAGGCAGGCCGAGUAAUGACCCCAAGGAGGUCCUCAUUGUAAUCUCUAGAAUUGUGACUGUUACCUUACAUUGCAAAAGGGACUUUGCAGAUGUGAUGAGGGUCUUAAAUUGGGUAAAUUUUCCUGGAAUAUCUGAGUGGGCCCUAAAUGUAACUACGAAUGUCCUCAUAGAAGAGGGAGGCAAGAAGGUCAAAGGAGGAAGAAAUAAGCAUAUUUGAAGAUCAAAGAUGCCAUGAUGUGAGGAAGGGUUCAGAAGCCAAGGAGUGCAGCAGGUAGGAUCCAGAAGCUAAAAAAAACAAGGAAAUGGAUUCUCCACUAGACCCUCCUGAAGGAACCAGCCCUGCUACACCCUGACUUUAGCUAGUGAAACUGAUUUGGAACUGAUGGCCUCUAUCAAUAAGAUGAUACAUUUGUAUUGGUGUUUUGUUGUGGGGU